GAGAGUUUGAUCCUGGCUCAGGGCGAACGCUGGCGGCGUGCUUAACACAUGCAAGUGGUGCGACGAACCAGGGCUUGCCCUGGGGCAAAGCCGCGAACGGGUGAGUAACACGUGAGUAACCUGCCCCGAUGACCGGGACAACCCGAGGAAACUCGGGCUAAUACCGGAUGUGGUGUUCACACGUAAGUGUGUCUACUAAAGGAAGCUUCGGCCUCCGCAUCGGGAGGGGCUCGCGGCCCAUUAGCUUGUUGGUGGGGUAACGGCCUACCAAGGCGACGAUGGGUAGCUGGUCUGAGAGGACGAUCAGCCACACUGGGACUGAGACACGGCCCAGACUCCUACGGGAGGCAGCAGUGGGGAAUCUUGCGCAAUGCGCGAAAGCGUGACGCAGCAACGCCGCGUGGGGGAAGACGGCCUUCGGGUUGUAAACCCCUUUCAGGAGGGACGAAGGCUCACCGGUGAAUAGCCGUGUGGGUUGACGGUACCCUUCGAGGAAGCCCCGGCUAACUACGUGCCAGCAGCCGCGGUAAUACGUAGGGGGCGAGCGUUGUCCGGAAUUAUUGGGCGUAAAGAGCGUGUAGGCGGUUCGGUAAGUCUGCCGUGAAAACCUGGGGCUCAACCCUGGGCGUGCGGUGGAUACUGCCGGGCUAGAGGAUGGUAGAGGCGAGUGGAAUUCCCGGUGUAGCGGUGAAAUGCGCAGAUAUCGGGAGGAACACCAGUAGCGAAGGCGGCUCGCUGGGCCAUUCCUGACGCUGAGACGCGAAAGCAUGGGGAGCGAACAGGAUUAGAUACCCUGGUAGUCCAUGCCGUAAACGAUGAACACUAGGUGUGGGGGGGAGUCGAAUCCCCCUGUGCCGAAGCCAACGCGUUAAGUGUUCCGCCUGGGGAGUACGGCCGCAAGGCUAAAACUCAAAAGAAUUGACGGGGGCCCGCACAAGCAGCGGAACAUGUUCUUUAAUUCGAUGCAACGCGAAGAACCUUACCUGGGGCUUGACAUGGUGCUGCAAGCGCACGGAAACCUGUGGACCUUUCCAGGGUGCACCACAGAAGCCUGCAUGGGCUGGCCUUCCGUUCCCGGGCCCUGGAAAUGUUGGGGUUAAAUCCCCGCACCCAACGCACACCCCCUGGGGGGGGGUGGCCCCACUUAAAGUUGGGGGGACUCCACCACAAAAUGGCCGGGGAACAACCCCCGGAAAAAAGUGGGGGGAUAAACCUCCAAGUCCUUCCCGGGGCUUCUACCCCUCAGGGGUGAAAAAACGUCGCCACAAGGGCGGUGAUUACAAAGAGUGGUUCAACACCCCGGCGGGGGGGGGGGGACACUCUUUCCGAA
RNAcentral lists this ribosomal RNA (1330 nucleotides) under uncultured bacterium. RNAcentral's name for it is "partial 16S ribosomal RNA". It matches the Rfam family "Bacterial small subunit ribosomal RNA", at positions 8 to 1324 of the family's 1533-position model. The record is from RNAcentral.